AGAGUGUGCAGAGUGUGCAGAGUGUGCAGAGUGUGCAGAGUGUGCAGAGUGUGCAGAGUGUGGAGAGUGUGGAGAGCGUGUGGAGUGUGCGGAGUGGGCAGAGCUUGAGUUGGGAAGCAGAAAGCCGCAUGCGAGAAUAGAACGUAGAACCGCAUUGUAAUCAUUUCGUUGCUCUUAAUAAUAUAUAUUAAAUCAAAACAUCAUUACUUGUCCUUUCUCUCUAAGACCAAUUUGGAUACUACAUUUAUUUUAAAUCUUUGGUUUUCUUUUGUAUAGAUCGUUGUUAGACCACAGAAAUGAUUUCGAAAGAAUAGGACGUCACUGUGAUUAAUGAUCCAUUCGAUGAGAAUCGAAUGCAGAUAACCUGAUUGGCAGAUUUGAUUUGCUGUAACAAAGGCUAAUAGAACUUUUGUGACCGCGUACAAUGCGGUCGAUAAAAUCAGUGUUUGCUGUGUAGGAUGUAGGAUCUUGAAUAUUUUUCAAGGCACAGUAGCUCUAAUUAAAUCUAAUUACAAUCGUCAUACGCGAAAUUAGAGUCAGUGCUAUUUCGUCGAUUAUUUUCUUUUCUUUUCUUUCUUUUUUUAUUUGAAUUUAUUCUCCUUCCUUUAUGUACACAUUUCUCUUUUUCAAUAUUCAUCUCGGUAUUAGAGUCAGUGUUUGUCUCAAGAGGAUCCAACCUCUCCAAAGCACCAACUAUAUUUCCGAUUUCCUCCACUGAUGACGACUUUCACGACGCAUCGUUCUUCUGGGAUAUUAUAGCAUCGAUGACAACAUUUUCUACAUCUAAGGGCGAGUUUCGUGCAUUCUUGUUGCUCUGAUCACUCGAUCGUAUCAUAGGAUGAAAAGUUAAAAUCGGCACGGGUGACUGGUUGUAUUACGUGGAACUUUUAACGAGCAUAAUGACUGCGGGUGUUUACUAUACCCGUGAAUAAUAAUAUUUCCUUUUCCUAUCUUUUAUAUCAUAUUAAUUCAGGGAAAACCUUGCAUAUGGCGUUCUUGAUACUAACAAUAUGACGUUGAUGAUAAUGAUAUUAAUGCAAUAUUAAAUGCUAUAAUUAAUAUGAACGAUAUAAUGUUGAUAAUUAGUUUGAAUAAGUGGAUGUAAAAGCAGAACAUAUCCAAUAUGAAUACAUAUUUGCAAAAGCCAAACAUCAAUAAAAUGUGAAUAGGCACUUGUAUAAAUAACAAACAUUGAAAUAACUUCAAUUUAAGUGCUUUGUAGUAAAGUCGAAUAUCCUACGACUUCGUUGUAGUGAAACUCGAAAUUAUUGUAACGAUAAUGUAAAUUAUAGUUGAUAAUUUUUUGUCUCAUUUUCAGUCUCAUGAUGAUAUGUCGGACAAUUCAAUUAUUUAUUCUUCGUAAUAUAAACUUUAUUAUAAUGUGAUAGAGUAUUUUGAUACGAAGAUAUUAAAGUUCAAUUCUUUGUAUAUUCAGUGUAAGAAUUACUGUUGCAAUAGUCCUCGGUCGCGCUUACUAAAAUUAUUUUUCGAAUUAGUAUUGCGUCGAUGCAUGAUCGUGAUUGUUGCGUCUAUAAAAUGUCACCCAAUAUUCUUGCAUCGAGAUUGUGGAAAUAUAUUUCCGUCUUUGGAUCAUCUGAUGCUACGAAAAGAUUUCUCCUUACGUUCCUUCGUUUUAGGUAUUUACGUAGGUUGGACUCGUGGAAACUUGGAUUUUUAAUGAUCACGUGAAAUUAGAUCAACGGUUAGGCAGAAUAAACUGAUUAACUAACUAAAAAUACAAUAUUAGUCAGUGCUUAAAUUUAUGUAUGUACAUCAAUAUUUAUGUAUUCGAGAGAUAUUAAGUGGCUGCAUAAAUAAAGAUAGUGUAUAAAUAAAUGAAAUAAAUUGAGAGACACAUUUCUCCCCUUUUUUCUUUUUAUCCACCAAUUAUUUUACAUCUUUAUGGCGAUGAAAGUAUAAAAUAUCGAUACAAGUACGAAACAGCGUCUCACAUAAAGUUAUAAAAUGAAUGGUUUGAAAUUUAAUGUAAAUUUCAAGAAGGGAAUGCGUGUAAACUGUAAUGAUACAAUGAUAACGGCGUUGUAAAGCUU
Molecule: long non-coding RNA, 2051 nt
Organism: Bombus terrestris (buff-tailed bumblebee)
Lineage: Eukaryota; Metazoa; Arthropoda; Insecta; Hymenoptera; Apidae
Exons: 3
Source: RefSeq, a predicted model, not a curated record